UACGUAGGUGGCAAGCGUUGUCCGGAUUUACUGGGCGUAAAGAGCGCGCAGGCGGCUCGAUAAGUCUGCUGUGAAAUCUCCCGGCUUAACUGGGAGGGGUCAGCAGAUACUGUCGGGCUUGAGGCAGGUAGAGGAAGGUGGAAUUCCCGGUGUAGUGGUGAAAUGCGUAGAUAUCGGGAGGAACACCAGUGGCGAAGGCGGCCUUCUGGGCCUGUCCUGACGCUGAGGCGCGAAAGCGUGGGGAGCGAACCGG
Molecule: ribosomal RNA, 253 nt
Filed under: uncultured bacterium
Lineage: Bacteria
Description: partial 16S ribosomal RNA
Rfam family: Bacterial small subunit ribosomal RNA
Source: RNAcentral